Molecule: long non-coding RNA, 2156 nt
Organism: Nicotiana tabacum (common tobacco)
Lineage: Eukaryota; Viridiplantae; Streptophyta; Magnoliopsida; Solanales; Solanaceae
Source: RefSeq, a predicted model, not a curated record
UUUUCCAUUCUCUCUCCAAAAUAGAUGCUUCUUCUCCUCCCUUUCCUUUUCUUCACAAAUUCCAUUGUUGCUCAGCCAUGGCAGACCUGCCAUUACCAUUUUUGAACAAGAAGCUCUGCACCUCAUUUAAUUUUCUUCAACAUCAACAUUCAAAUUUCAAACGUUCAAGAGCUUUUCACUCAAUUUCAAAAUCCCGCCCAAACCAAGAACCCUAGAUAUCAGCCUAUAAAUACCCGCCUUUGAAGAGAUUUUCGACCAAGCUGAGAGCUGCCCCUUUUACCCCAAAAAUUGAAGGUCUUCAGCUGUUGCCUUCACCCUUUGAGACCAAACUUAGAGCCACCGCUCUUUCCCUCUAUAAAUUAUUCUAUGCUUAUGAACUGUUAUUCAUCUCAGAAAAGCUUCAUUCUUUUUGACUCCACAACUACUUCUGUUGGAUAUUUACGCUUGCAUAAAAUCGAUUAUCUUCAUUUAUUUUAGUCAAAUAUGCGUUUGUCCUAGAGGAAAGAGUGGUCUUAAAAUUAGAGUUCGAUAACGCAUCUAAGAUCCGUGCCUCGGUUCGCUGCUCCGCAACAGAGUCUUAAUUCGAGACUCGCAGUGGAGUCUCAUAGAGACUCAAUAUUACCCCAUCACCACAUGGAGUCGUUACAUACCAUCUUCUUUAGAGCACCAGAUAGCGAGGAAAACAAGCGAAUCGCUUGGGAUCGCCUAUGGCGGCUUUGUUUUCUACUUAUUCUGUCUGAUGUUGUUAAUCUUUGUGAUUUGUUUAUUUGAACUUAUGAUUGAUGAUUAAUUUUAUCAUUUAAAAUUACAACUUUAGUUUUGGCAAAGUAUUUUAUUGAAAAAAGGACUUAAAAGGAUAGUGCUAAGAGCUUUGGGGAGAUAGUUACCAAUUGAGUCUUUAUUUUUUUUUAAACUUUUGAGAAAGUAUUUUUAUAAGCUAAGAUAGAAUUUGAACAUAUUUUCAAAUCAAUUGACUCUUUACUCAAAAGGACGCCUUUUUCACGAUAAGCUUUUUGAUAAAUUUGAGUUGAAUAUUUAACCAAACUACAUCGGAACUUUGAUCCAUUUCCUAAGUAAAAAAGACAGUUUUUCUCAAGUUUAGUUUUAAUAAAAUUUCAAUCCAACAUGUAAUUUUUUUGUUUUGAAACCUAAGCAUAUUUUGCUAAUUCAAAAUAUUUAGAUUUGGAUUUGAAAUUUGAUUUCUUUUAAAAGACGUCCUAGUCCAUAGAGAUUCUUUCUGGAGUCACUUUUUUAGCUGUAAACUAAUCUAAGUUGGGCGGUUAACCAUUUUUAAUGGAUCUUAAAAGGUGCUUUACCCCUUCCUUUUAAAAUAAUUAGAACCCUUACCUAGAAUUUUUAAGACUAAGCAGACCAUAUAAAACAGAGUUAACUUUAAGCAUUACUUAGUUAAAAUUUGUGUCCUAAUUCACCAUUAAUACAAUUAGGUGGCGACUCUUUUAAUUAAUUAAACCUCAAAUUUACCAAUAUGUUAUACUCUAAUUUGACCCAUGUUAAAAUGGGGUAUAACAGCUUGGCGACUCUGUUGGGGAUUUCUAGGUUCUAAACCACAACAAACUUAGGUUAAUAAUAAAAAUUAAUUUGUGUGUUUUUGAUUGUUAUGAUGUUUAUUUGAAUUGCCGUUAUAAGAUAAAUGGUAUUUUAUGAAUUGUUCAUCUAUUCUUUUUGCUUUAUAUAAAUUGUCAUUCCCAUUUCACUUCCUCCACUUCUGGAAAAUUCACACAAAGCAUACACCUAGCGGUUACGUGGUUUGCGGCCGUGCACUACUCAAAAUACCUUUUAAGGAAAAGUUCGUAGGUAAGUCGAUCAACGGUGCAAUCGACAGUCAUGGGCUUUCCGCUCUCAAGUGUCAACUUGGGACCAGACCAGUCUAGAAAACCCAUUCUUAGUCAACCUAAGAUAGAGCUAAACCAAAACCCUUUUAAGAGCAUGCAUCAUUUUAACCUUAGGUGAUUUAAUACCCGAGGUGUAUUAAACCCAUUAGUUGACAUUACCUAAAUGUUCAAGUGGGUUUUCAACCCCAAAUGACCCCUUAUCACGUAAAUGUGCAUUAUUUGAAGGGUGAACAUGCCAAUUAUGUGGAUCAUUUACUUUAAAUUAAUAAUAUCCAAGUUAAAGAAGCAUGACUAUCUUUUUUA